UACGGAGGGUGCGAGCGUUAAUCGGAAUUACUGGGCGUAAAGCGUGCGUAGGCGGUCCGGUCAGUCUUGCGUGAAAUCCCCGGGCUCAACCUGGGAACUGCGCGGGAUACUGCCGGGCUGGAGUGCGGGAGAGGGCGGUGGAAUUUCCGGUGUAGCAGUGAAAUGCGUAGAGAUCGGAAGGAACACCAGUGGCGAAGGCGGCCGCCUGGACCGACACUGACGCUGAGGCACGAAAGCGUGGGGAGCAAACAGG
RNAcentral lists this ribosomal RNA (253 nucleotides) under uncultured bacterium. RNAcentral describes it as "partial 16S ribosomal RNA". It matches the Rfam family "Bacterial small subunit ribosomal RNA", at positions 524 to 776 of the family's 1533-position model. The record is from RNAcentral.